CAGUAGCCGCGGUAAUACAGAGGGUGCAAGCGUUAAUCGGAAUUACUGGGCGUAAAGCGCGCGUAGGUGGUUUGUUAAGUUGGAUGUGAAAUCCCCGGGCUCAACCUGGGAACUGCAUCCAAAACUGGCAGGCUAGAGUAGGGCAGAGGGUGGUGGAAUUUCCUGUGUAGCGGUGAAAUGCGUAGAUAUAGGAAGGAACACCAGUGGCGAAGGCGACCACCUGGGCUCAUACUGACACUGAGGUGCGAAAGCGUGGGGAGCAAACAGGAUUAGAUACCCGAGUAGUCCCUGUCUCUUAUAC
RNAcentral lists this ribosomal RNA (301 nucleotides) under uncultured bacterium. RNAcentral's name for it is "partial 16S ribosomal RNA". It matches the Rfam family "Bacterial small subunit ribosomal RNA", at positions 509 to 807 of the family's 1533-position model. The record is from RNAcentral.